GGUCAAGAGCUAUGAUCAAGAGUCAACCCAGUGAGUCAACCUCGUGCUCACAGAAUAAGAAGGUACUUAGGUACAGCAGAAGCGUCACUCAAGCAAGUAUUUGUCCGCGUUUUUACAAGCGAUUCGUCAUCAAUCACGCCAUACAAGAGGAAAGAGCCUGGGAACGAGGUCAUGGGCGUACCGGAAGGAAAAAAUUAGGGGGGCGGAAAGAAAAUUGCCCGACUUUUCGUAAAAUUGCCCGACUUUUCGUGAUUUUGCCCGACUAGUACCAAAAAAUUUUUCCCGGAAAGAUUAUUUUGGCGACCUCCACCCCCUUCCCACCCCCCGUCG
Non-coding RNA from Paramuricea clavata, 330 nucleotides. The record is from the annotation of a GenBank genome assembly. Lineage: Eukaryota; Metazoa; Cnidaria; Anthozoa; Malacalcyonacea; Plexauridae.